GGGGACGCGUGGUUUCGACAGGGGGAGUAGGCUACAGGAUUGCAGGCUGAGGUGCCACUAUCUCAUAAAACAGGUGGCAAAACGUAACUGACGAAUCAGUUUUACUUGCAGCCUAAUUAGUUAGGCUGCCAUCCAACCCGACCUCCCCUUAACGGGUUGGGAUUGGGUGCCGAAAAGUUGAGGUGCCACCGCCUAGACGUCGAUAAGGGUGGUGAAAGAGUCAUCGACUGGCCUGGCUAAACUCGGUCAGCAGAGGUUAGUCAGGUAAGAUAAAAGAGCUGACUAAGCUUGUAGCAUAUUCUGGGUCGCUUCUUCUGGACGGGGAGUUCGACUCUCCCCCGUCUCCACCA
RNAcentral lists this transfer-messenger RNA (350 nucleotides) under subsurface metagenome. RNAcentral describes it as "transfer-messenger RNA, SsrA". It matches the Rfam family "transfer-messenger RNA". From Rfam's summary of the family: Bacterial tmRNA, also known as 10Sa RNA or SsrA, is named for its dual tRNA and mRNA-like properties. Its role is to liberate the mRNA from a stalled ribosome. To accomplish this part of the tmRNA is used as a reading frame that ends in a translation stop signal. The record is from RNAcentral.